GCCAACAAAGGAAAACCCCAUAGAGGUCGAUUAAUGCAAAUGAGACUCAAAUGUGCAAGUGUGGAAGUGUAUGAAAGAAAUUAAAAAUCCAAGUGUUUGUUUGCAAGUGUAUGGAAAGGUGCACGUGUGCAAUUGUAUGAAAAUUCCAAGUGUUUGUGUGCAAGUGUAUGAAAUAUAGUGAGAAGUGCGUAUAGGUGUAAUUAAAUGCAAUUUUGUGAAGUAGAAAUCAAAAUGAACAAUAAGGAAAGGAAAAUGUGAAUUGAAAAGAAUGAGUGAGUGAUAAAUGAGAAUGAACGAACCUAAGGGAAUGCAUCAGGUCGGGUGUGGGAAUGACUCCUAACUUUUUCGACUUCGAUUUUCCCUUUGAUUAGAAGGCAAAACUAGCGUGCUAAGGCUAUCGAG
Molecule: long non-coding RNA, 402 nt
Filed under: Coffea arabica (coffee)
Lineage: Eukaryota; Viridiplantae; Streptophyta; Magnoliopsida; Gentianales; Rubiaceae
Description: long non-coding RNA (CARA_LNC006573)
Source: RNAcentral